AACAACAUUGUCUUUCUUUUGUAGCACAG
Molecule: non-coding RNA, 29 nt
Filed under: Cricetulus griseus (Chinese hamster)
Lineage: Eukaryota; Metazoa; Chordata; Mammalia; Rodentia; Cricetidae
Source: RNAcentral